CUCGGGCGUCUUUCAGUUGCUUUUUAUGCAGGGCUUCCUGUGGAACGCAGGAAUUGGAUGGACAAUCCCAAACCGGAAUUCCUACAUCUUGAAGGGGGCAAAGAGAACUUCAGCCUUCUCACCUCAGGGCCUUCUGCUCGCCUUUGCAGUCCUCAGGAAAACACAGGAAUCACCAACACUGGGAGUUAUCUUGGCCCGCGGAGGGAGUCUGGGCUUCAUCAGUUGUCACGGUUCCCUUGCUGCAUCUUUUCCCCACCCUGAGGACCUCGAGGAAGAACUCUGAUCCUGGAACAUAAGGAACACAAUCUGACCCCGUCCACGCCAGGAAGGACACGACGCCACAAUGACAUGCUGGAGGAGAGGAAGGAAAAACACCAGCAGCAGCAGAAAAGGGAAGUCCUUUGUUUGCAGUGUGCCUCGUGAGACAGUUUGUGUUGGCAGAUUUAUGACCACCAUCCUGAUCAGCAGUCUAUGCCAUGGAUGUUGGGAGUUUCUGGACGACGGAGGAAGACCUAGAGCCUGAUGUGAAUUUAUCACUGCUCUUUACUUCACCUACCAAGUUUGUUUUUAAAUACAGGUUAGCUGCAAAGUAAGGUUCAAACCUGUUCUUAGUUAUUCUGUGUCACCGUCCACAUCCUGUCCUGUUAGAGGACAGGAUGUCUGGCUACAGAGGGGAAGCAUUUGGUAUCUACAAACUACACUCUCCUAUAAUAGGUGAACCUGAUUCAGAGUGUAAAAACAUGAAGUAAUCGGUACCCACAGAAGUCGACCUUAUGACCUGAAAGCAAAAAGUCAUCAUUACCUCAUAUUGUCAAAACAGCUGCAGGAAAGUUUGAGUGUGUGAUUUUAAAUAUAUCAAGUAAUGUCAAGAUUCUGUUUUUUUAUAGCCCAGGAUCACAUACUUUGUCUCAAUGGACUUUAAAGGUCAUAGUAGCAGCAGGUCUGACCCAGCCCAAGCUCUCUAAGAAGACUAACUCCUCAGAUAUAACCCAGGUCAAGAGUGCUGCUUGGCCAGAAAUGUCAAUGCUAAAAUACACUAAAAAGCACUCCCCUUUGCUCUUAUUGAGUGUGCCUGAAAGCGCACACUAUAUGUUAUCCACUGCGCUUCUUCCGCUCUAAG
This is a long non-coding RNA of Larimichthys crocea (large yellow croaker), 1120 nucleotides long. RefSeq lists it as uncharacterized. The transcript is spliced from 3 exons. The record is from RefSeq and is a predicted model, not a curated record. Lineage: Eukaryota; Metazoa; Chordata; Actinopteri; Sciaenidae.